ACUGCCUCAACAACGAAGCAAAUAUAACUAUAAUUUUUCAAAUAUUGUGAACUUACAUAGGCUUUCCUCUGACUGAAGUUUUCAUCUAUCGGGAUAUUCUACAGAUAUUCUGUAACACCCACCAAGUGCCUGUGCGUUUGACCUUAUUUUCCACCCAAAACUCCAAUUCAGGUCCGUUGCCUGUCGAUUUGGGAAAAGCAAAACACUUACUAUACGGGUUUACUCAAUCUCACCGGAAAACUCGAGAUUGCAUCGGAUGAAAUUAGGCGUUCUUGAGUGGCAGAAGCCCUGCGAAAAUGGGCACGUCUCACAAACGACAAGCAUAUCACACUAAUAGCUAGAAAUUGGUUUCAAGGUCAAAGAAGUCAUCGCCAUCUGUCGAUCGGCAAGUACGCUUCAUGCAUGAAAUACACUUGCUCUAAAAUAGACACGAAUUUUAAUGAACAAACAUUAAUUUUUAGUCUUUUCAGGAUAGAAUUAGGAAGCAGUACAUUUGCUAAAGCCUAUAGUUAAAUAAAUAGAUGAAAUAGCGUAAAUUUUA
This is a long non-coding RNA of Varroa destructor (honeybee mite), 541 nucleotides long. RefSeq lists it as uncharacterized. The record is from RefSeq and is a predicted model, not a curated record. NCBI's taxonomy places the organism in Eukaryota, Metazoa, Arthropoda, Arachnida, Mesostigmata, Varroidae.